UACGUAGGGGGCUAGCGUUGUCCGGAUUUAUUGGGCGUAAAGGGCGCGUAGGCGGUGCGGUAAGUCCGCAGUGAAAUCUCUGGGCUCAACUCAGAGUCUGCUGUGGAAACUGCCGUGCUUGAGUGUGGGAGAGGUGAGUGGAAUUCCUGGUGUAGCGGUGAAAUGCGCAGAUAUCAGGAAGAACACCAAUGGCGAAGGCAGCUCUCUGGGACGGUACUGACGCUGAGACGCGAAAAGCGUGGGGAGCGAACAGG
RNAcentral lists this ribosomal RNA (254 nucleotides) under uncultured bacterium. Its description in RNAcentral is "partial 16S ribosomal RNA". It matches the Rfam family "Bacterial small subunit ribosomal RNA", at positions 524 to 776 of the family's 1533-position model. The record is from RNAcentral.